GUGUCAGCCGCCGCGGUAAUACGUAGGGUGCAGGCGUUAAUCGGAAUUACUGGGCGUAAAGCGUGCGCAGGCGGUCUUUUAAGUCAGAUGUGAAAUCCCCGGGCUUAACCUGGGAACUGCGUUUGAAACUGGAAGGCUUGAGUGUGGCAGAGGGGGGUGGAAUUCCACGUGUAGCAGUGAAAUGCGUAGAGAUGUGGAGGAACACCGAUGGCGAAGGCAGCCCCCUGGGCUAACACUGACGCUCAUGCACGAAAGCGUGGGGAGCAAACAGGAUUAGAAACCCUGGUAGUCC
This 292-nucleotide ribosomal RNA is filed under the name uncultured bacterium. RNAcentral describes it as "partial 16S ribosomal RNA". It matches the Rfam family "Bacterial small subunit ribosomal RNA", at positions 505 to 796 of the family's 1533-position model. The record is from RNAcentral.